UACGACUACAUAUCAGGCAUAUCAAUAAGCGGAGGAAAAGAAACUAACAAGGAUUCCCUCAGUAACGGCGAGUGAAGCGGGAAGAGCUCAAAUUUGAAAUCUUCAAGGUUCUACCUUGACGAAUUGUAGUUUAAAGAAGUGUUUUCUGUUAGAUGAGUAGCAAAAGUUCCUUGGAAUGGGACAUCAUAGAGGGUGAGAAUCCCGUAUUUGGUUAUUCAUUCUAGCUUUGUGAUACACUUUCAAAGAGUCGGAUUGUUUGGGAAUGCAGUCCAAAAUGGGUGGUAAAUUUCAUCUAAAGCUAAAUAUUGGCGAGAGACCGAUAGCGAACAAGUACCGUGAGGGAAAGAUGAAAAGAACUUUGAAAAGAGAGUUAAACAGUACGUGAAAUUGUCAAAAGGGAAGCGUUUGACACCAGUGUUGUUUUUCCGAAAAUCAAUUACGAAUGGCUUGAUUUUGUGUUGUAUUGACCUUAUCAGCUUUCUGCACUUUUUUCGAGUCUUUCUUAAUGCACUUUUCGGUUAACAAGUCAACAUCAAUUUCUUUUGUUGUAAAAGAGUAUUCGGAAGGUGGCUUUCUUUUCGGAGAAAGUGUUUAUAGCCCUAUACUUCUACAAUCGGAGAGAUUGAGGUCUGCAGCGUAGAUCCUUCGGGGUUAGAUACACUUGGUGCUAAGUUGUAGCUUUUCAUAGACAACUUGUUGACUAUGUUUAGUCAUGCGGCUUACUCGCUUGUGCUAUUUUACCUACGCUUAGGAUGUUGAGUAGCGACAUACGCAC
RNAcentral lists this ribosomal RNA (775 nucleotides) under uncultured Neocallimastigales. RNAcentral's name for it is "partial large subunit ribosomal RNA". It matches the Rfam family "Eukaryotic large subunit ribosomal RNA", at positions 24 to 649 of the family's 3401-position model. The record is from RNAcentral. Lineage: Eukaryota; Fungi; Neocallimastigomycota; Neocallimastigomycetes; Neocallimastigales.